UUUAUAUUACGAUGUUAUAUCUUUUCCUACUUCAUAUUGUAGCCGAAGUAAUUCACGAAUGUAAUAGAGACAGAGAUUGUCACAUCUCAUGUGUCCCACCUGAACUUCCGAAGUGCAUUGCACAUAUGUGUUUCUGUUUUAACAGGUUGUAAUCUUUGUUUGCUUUUACAAGACACAUGGAGGAUAAAAUGUCACUGCAUAAAUGAAUUGCAACAAAUUAAGAUGUGAUUAUGUAAAAUUAUUAUGAAAUAAAGACAACAUGGUUAUCAUGUAAUUAUAUGCAUACAAUUAUAAGCAUACAUGUAUCUUUUCAAUACAAUUCUUUUCUGUUGCGAUGUUUUAGAUACAAUUCUCAUCAUGAAGACAUGGGGCUUAAUAGCAUGUUCCUUUCUAACUUUUAAAUUUGGAUCAUCCGGAUGUCAACAAUUCAUGUAUUUGAUUGGUUCAUACGAAAA
Medicago truncatula (barrel medic) is the source of this 455-nucleotide long non-coding RNA. RefSeq lists it as uncharacterized. The transcript is spliced from 3 exons. NCBI's taxonomy places the organism in Eukaryota, Viridiplantae, Streptophyta, Magnoliopsida, Fabales, Fabaceae. The record is from RefSeq and is a predicted model, not a curated record.